Molecule: ribosomal RNA, 498 nt
Filed under: uncultured bacterium
Lineage: Bacteria
Description: bacterial SSU rRNA
Rfam family: Bacterial small subunit ribosomal RNA
Source: RNAcentral
CUGGCUCAGGAUGAACGCUGGCGGCGUGCCUAACACAUGCAAGUCGAACGGGGUUAUGCGACAAUUCUUCGGAAGCGAUGCAUAACUAGUGGCGGACGGGUGAGUAACACGUGAGCAACCUGCCUUUCAGAGGGGGAUACCGUUUGGAAACGAACGCUAAUACCGCAUAACGCAGCGUGACCGCAUGAUCGUGCUGCCAAAGGAGCGAUCCGCUGAAAGAUGGGCUCGCGGCUGAUUAGAUAGUUGGUGGGGUAACGGCCUACCAAGUCGACGAUCAGUAGCCGGACUGAGAGGUUGAACGGCCACAUUGGGACUGAGACACGGCCCAGACUCCUACGGGAGGCAGCAGUGGGGAGUAUUGCGCAAUGGGGGCAAACCCCCUGACGCAGCAACGCCGCGUGUGGGAAGAAGGUCUUCGGAUUGUAAACCAUUGUCUUCGGUGACGAUAAUGACGGUAGCCGAGGAGGAAGCUCCGGCUAACUACGUGCCAGCCGCCGC